This 1104-nucleotide ribosomal RNA is filed under the name Leucobacter sp. NCCP-1267. RNAcentral's name for it is "bacterial SSU rRNA". It matches the Rfam family "Bacterial small subunit ribosomal RNA", at positions 64 to 1146 of the family's 1533-position model. Lineage: Bacteria; Bacillati; Actinomycetota; Actinomycetes; Micrococcales; Microbacteriaceae. The record is from RNAcentral.
GUAUGGCCUGCUCUGACCAGGUCUCUACGAGUGCUGCAAGCCCCAGCUUGCUGGGGUGGAUGAGUGGCGAACGGGUGAGUAACACGUGAGUAACCUGCCCAUCACUCUGGGAUAAGCGCUGGAAACGGCGUCUAAUACUGGAUACGAGCAGCGACCGCAUGGUCAGUUGCUGGAAAGACUGGUUCGGUGAUGGAUGGACUCGCGGCCUAUCAGCUUGUUGGUGAGGUAAUGGCUCACCAAGGCGACGACGGGUAGCCGGCCUGAGAGGGUGACCGGCCACACUGGGACUGAGACACGGCCCAGACUCCUACGGGAGGCAGCAGUGGGGAAUAUUGCACAAUGGGCGCAAGCCUGAUGCAGCAACGCCGCGUGAGGGAUGACGGCCUUCGGGUUGUAAACCUCUUUUAGUAGGGAAGAAGCCUUCGGGUGACGGUACCUGCAGAAAAAGCACCGGCUAACUACGUGCCAGCAGCCGCGGUAAUACGUAGGGUGCAAGCGUUGUCCGGAAUUAUUGGGCGUAAAGAGCUCGUAGGCGGCUUGUCGCGUCUGCUGUGAAAACCCGAGGCUCAACCUCGGGCCUGCAGUGGGUACGGGCAAGCUAGAGUGCGGUAGGGGAGAUUGGAAUUCCUGGUGUAGCGGUGGAAUGCGCAGAUAUCAGGAGGAACACCGAUGGCGAAGGCAGAUCUCUGGGCCGUAACUGACGCUGAGGAGCGAAAGCAUGGGGAGCGAACAGGAUUAGAUACCCUGGUAGUCCAUGCCGUAAACGUUGGGAACUAGAUGUAGGGCCUGUUCCACGGGUUCUGUGUCGUAGCUAACGCAUUAAGUUCCCCGCCUGGGGAGUACGGCCGCAAGGCUAAAACUCAAAGGAAUUGACGGGGGCCCGCACAAGCGGCGGAGCAUGCGGAUUAAUUCGAUGCAACGCGAAGAACCUUACCAAGGCUUGACAUAUAGAAGAACGGGUCAGAAUGAUUCACUCUUUGGACACUUCUAUACAGGUGGUGCAUGGUUGUCGUCAGCUCGUGUCGUGAGAUGUUCGGUUAAGUCCGGCAACGAGCGCAACCCUCGUCCUAUGUUGCCAGCACGUAAUGGUGGGAACUCAUGGGA